CAGUCGCCGCGGUAAUACGUAGGUGGCAAGCGUUGUCCGGAAUUAUUGGGCGUAAAGGGCUCGCAGGCGGUUUCUUAAGUCUGAUGUGAAAGCCCCCGGCUCAACCGGGGAGGGUCAUUGGAAACUGGGAAACUUGAGUGCAGAAGAGGAGAGUGUAAUUCCACGUGUAGCGGUGAAAUGCGUAGAGAUGUGGAGGAACACCAGUGGCGAAGGCGACUCUCUGGUCUGUAACUGACGCUGAGGAGCGAAAGCUAGGGGAGCAAACAGGAUUAGAUACCCGCGUAGUCCCUGUCUCUUAUAC
RNAcentral lists this ribosomal RNA (301 nucleotides) under uncultured bacterium. RNAcentral's name for it is "partial 16S ribosomal RNA". It matches the Rfam family "Bacterial small subunit ribosomal RNA", at positions 509 to 807 of the family's 1533-position model. The record is from RNAcentral.